This 254-nucleotide ribosomal RNA is filed under the name uncultured bacterium. RNAcentral's name for it is "partial 16S ribosomal RNA". It matches the Rfam family "Bacterial small subunit ribosomal RNA", at positions 524 to 776 of the family's 1533-position model. The record is from RNAcentral.
UACGUAGGCAGCGAGCGUUGUUCGGAGUUACUGGGCGUAAAGGGUGUGUAGGCGGUUGUUUAAGUUUGGUGUGAAAUCUCCCGGCUCAACUGGGAGGGUGCGCCGAAUACUGAAUGACUUCGAGUGCGGGAGAGGAGAGUGAAAUUCCUGGUGUAGCGGUGAAAUGCGUAGAUAUCAGGAGGAACACCGGUGGUGUAGACGGCUCUCUGGACCGUAACUGACGCUGAGACACGAAAGCGUGGGUAGCAAACAGG